GGGGGUGCGCUACAGUUGGAGAGGUAGGUUGGACUGUAAAUCCAAUGUUUCGGCUGAGUAGGUUCGAAUCCUACCACCCCCACCA
This 85-nucleotide transfer RNA is filed under the name Lewinella sp. 4G2. RNAcentral's name for it is "tRNA-Tyr". It matches the Rfam family "tRNA". From Rfam's summary of the family: Transfer RNA (tRNA) molecules are approximately 80 nucleotides in length. Their secondary structure includes four short double-helical elements and three loops (D, anti-codon, and T loops). RNAcentral also lists the same sequence under 1 other name. Lineage: Bacteria; Pseudomonadati; Bacteroidota; Saprospiria; Saprospirales; Lewinellaceae. The record is from RNAcentral.